UCGAGAACCAAGGGAGUACUAUAAAGUACAAUUUAUAUUAAUUGUAUGCUCUCAAUUGGACAAGUUGGAAGUCUAUUACUAGACUUUACCGCUUCCUCCUUUCAUCGGAGACAAUGGAAGUGGUGCUAGCUCUUCAAGAUGGUCGCGUUGUCUUUUGAUCUAAAUGUCCCUCCUAUUGAGCUGGAGUCAUUUACAAAAUCUAAGAGCAUUAGAUACCUUGUUGUGAAUUUAAAUCUCUCUAUUCUUGAAUUUUUGAUGUUUCAAAAAGCAUCGUCGAUAAUUAUUUGCUACUUAGCAUGGCAUUGUAGUUUGGGAAAUCAACAGCAUUGAUGAUAGCUGAAAUCAGAGCCGGUUCUGUGAUUGUCGGGGUCUGAGGCGAAAUCCGUAAAUUAGGCCCCCGGAGAAAUCAACGUAAAUGCAAAAUUCAAUAGUGUAUUAUGCGACCCAUUACUAACUUAAAAAACUAACAUUAAAACAAUCAAAUAUAUUAUAGAAAAUAUUUAUAUUAUAAACUGUCAAAACAAACAAUGUUUCAAAUAAUUAGUUAAAUACUAUUCAUCUUACUGUUUUAGAGACAAAAACAUCAAUCAAAUUUGUAUAAUUUUGCUGCUCAACCAUUUCUUUCUCUAAUGUCCAAUGAUUAAUCUAAAAAAAUAAUUACAAAAUAUCUCAAUCAUCUCACUAUUACAAUUUCUAAUAUGGUUACUAUGUGCACCAGUGCAAUUGUUCAUCCUAUAAUAACAAAUCAUAUAAGCCGACUAGGCUGCAAUUAUAUAAGUCGACUAGGCUGCAAUUAUAUAAGCCAACAAGGUUUCAAACAUUUUCAAUCUCUACAAUAACAAGUUAGGGCAAGUUAUUACUUACCUGAGAAAUGGAAUUUCGACGAAAAUUACGGAAUUACACCCUUGAAAAUGAUCCCGUCACAACUCACGAGCCUGAAAUAAAAAUUUAUAUAAAAUUAUGAUACUUAACUUAUGCAUUAUCAAAUUUAAGUAAAAUUAAAUUUAGGGCAUUGUCGCAUUGUAAGAAGUUAUCCAAAUCAAUUCCUUCAAUUAAGUUAUCAAAUUCAUUCACUUUAUCACACUUCCUACAUAGUAAAAUCCCAACAAAAGACUUUAAAAGCCCAAUUUUCAACAAUAUUUUAUUUUAUUUUUAUUUUUAUUUUUUUAUUUUUUUUGGGUAUGAAGUAUUCAGUAUGCCAAAUCUACUAGAAAUAUUAAUUAGAAAGGGAUCACGAUGAAACCCUCAAUCUUGCUAAAUAUUUUUAAACUUACUAGAACCAGUACUAUAACAAAAAGGAAAUCUCAUCAUACUUUGAUCAAGCAAAAAUCCAAAAAAAAAAUAUCGCUGAAGUCUUGAACGUUCAUCGUGUGAUUGAAAAAGAGAGCCAUUUUAAUCUUGUUCAUAUUUUCAAUUUCCUUCACAACUACAUUGUGAUUAGGAUGCUACUGCUGGGGAUUUUCUCCAAUUUACCCUACAAUUUAAAAUGUAAUAAGGGGACGAACUAAAAAACACAAGAAUUGAACCGAUCGGGCCUAUCUAGUUUUCAAAACCUUGAAUGUUCAGUGCAAAGUUAAGAUCAUUAACAUUUAAAUUGAAAAAUUUAUAGGUUCUUCAUACUUGUUUGGAAAUUUAAAUGCUUUUCCACCACUGGUACAACUAGACAACCAGUUAGCAUUGUGGAGAACAAAAGACUAAAAGAACUCGGUCCAACAAUGCACAAACAAGAGACCAUCUCUCAAAAUUUCCCAAAACAUUAAGAAAUAUGAAGGAUAUGUUACAAAUCUAUGAACCAUUGAAACCCCUCAAAAUUCCAAAAGAAGUGCAGUUACCGUUCUUUGACUUUGUCAAUCGAUGCCCAUUGCCAAUUUGCCCAAUAAGCCAAUAUUCGAUCGACGAGCAGACUUCGACCGACUUCUCAAAGAUUUUGGGAACUGGUGUACGAAGCGAUCGGCGGCAGAAGGGCGAAGGCGGACUGGUGGAGACUGGAGUGACCUAAUGGAGACAACACAGACACUUAGAUGAUGAGCAGGUCAUGAAUCGUAUUUCAGAUUUUGGGAUUUUUAGGUAAAUGGAUUGUGAAUAUUGGAUAUAUAAGUUGGGUUGGAAUUUAAGGGUAAAUGGAUUUGUGGGUUGUUGUUUAGUUAUUGGAUAAUUAGUUUUGGGCCAACUACCUUGUUUGGGGGGGGGGGGGGGGGGGGGGGGGAAUCUGGGCCAAAAUUAGGCCCCCUAUGGUCUUGGGUCUGAGGCGCAGGCCUCAUUGGCCUCACCCCAGGACCGGGCUUGACUGAAGUAGUACUAAGAAAGAAAAAAUAAGCUAAAAAUACUUAUCCAUUAUGCAUAGCAAGCAUUCACCAAAUGCAUUAGAUCUAAAUUUUAGCAGUAAACUUUGAUCUUCUCAUUCAUCCAUAAUAUUCAAAAACUAGAUGAAGCAUAUCAAAGUUUUAAACUUGAUUGUCUUUUGAAAAUCAUGAGCAAUUGAAAGUGCUUGCCAGUUGCCACGGUAUUAAUAGUUAACACUGUUAAUCUACAUGUAACCCGACAUUGGAAAUAGUUUCUUUAAUUCAAUAAACUAGAUCAUCUGGAUGUUCACAUAUAUGUUAUAUCAUGAAUAAAGGAUUCGAACUUUUACCUAAAUUCGAUCUUGAAGUAUAUCUUGGUUUGGUUCUGACAUGGACUUUUAUCACUCCGGUGACGAGCAUUUUAAGUUCAUGCAGGACAUUCAGGUUCACAAUAUGCAAAAGCAGUUAUAUGGGGACACACAUACCUUGGUUCCAGCCACAAUAGUGCCAUUUAGGGGAUGAGCUGCACAUUCAGUAACACCUUUAGAUAAUGACAAAAAUUUGUUUCGUUUAUGCUGGCUGGCUGGUUCCUCAGUGCUCAUUAAAUCAUCGUCGCUGGCAAUAAACUUUGCGUUAUCAGCAACCUCACGUCAACGUUUAGUCUCUAAUUUAUCCCCUGUCCUUCCUGCUUGCUAAUCAAAAUCAAAAGCGAGGGGGAAAUUACAC
RNAcentral lists this long non-coding RNA (3008 nucleotides) under Olea europaea (common olive). RNAcentral describes it as "long non-coding RNA (OEUR_LNC004218)". The record is from RNAcentral. Lineage: Eukaryota; Viridiplantae; Streptophyta; Magnoliopsida; Lamiales; Oleaceae.